Long non-coding RNA from Monodelphis domestica (gray short-tailed opossum), 1127 nucleotides. The record is from Ensembl. NCBI's taxonomy places the organism in Eukaryota, Metazoa, Chordata, Mammalia, Didelphimorphia, Didelphidae.
CCUAAGAACCUUAAUGGGAAAAAAUCCCUUCUGUGAAUGCAGGGUGGUCUAGUCUAGUAAUGGCAAAUCUUUUAGAACCUUUUAGAGAUCAUGUGCUGUGCUGUGCCCCUAGAGACCAAGUGUUCCCCUUCUCCCCCACCUCCCUGUCACCUUACCCCAGAUAGGAGGGAAAAAGGUGGAGAGUGGUCUGAGUAUUCUACUCAGGGGAGGGAGUAAGCACAGAGAUGCAGGGAGGCACAGUGGAGGGGGGAAGGGAGCUGCUCCACUAGAGUCCCUCUGCCUUUCUAGUAAUUAACUCAGGUCUAAUUGCGAGCACCACUGGAGUACAAAAGAGGAUAGCAUAAUGACAACAUACAAGACGUUUUUAAUACUGAAACAGAGUUGAUGUCCUGAAUUUUCCUUCCACAUGUAAGGAGGAGCAGAAGCAGAGCCAGCAUCCUUCCUUUCCCUGAAGAUCUCCCUGGGGAUCAAACUGAGGGUUGGCAGAGAGGACCAGCAUGGCCCCAGAAAUCCUGCAGCUGCUGUUGCUGCUGCUGCUGCCGUCCCUGGGCAUCUCAGGCAAGCCACGGAGGAGUGUGGUUCAGCUCCCGGGCUCUGGAAGACAAGACGUUCAGACUGAGAAGGCACACAAACUGGAGGGGGAGACAUUCAGUGCGAACUGCUCCUAUACGCUCCAGGAAAAUAAAACUAUUUGGAUUUCUUGGUGUAAAAUGCAAGAGAAUAGAGAGGACUGCAAUAUAGUACCCUUAGAAACAAGGUCCAGUUUUAAAGUAGCAGACCGAAUAUACUUGUCCUCUGCUGACGUCAAUAGUGGCAUCGUCACUAUCAUGAUGUCGGGACUCAGAGAAAAUGAUUCAGGUUUCUACAAGUGUGGAAUUCUAUCAAAUUCUCCUGAGAAUGAAGUCAUCAGGAGAUUCCACCUCCAGGUGUCCCCAGCUCAAACACAGAGCCCCAGGAAUCGUAUCCAGGCUAACUCAGAGGACACUUCCAACAACACUAACAGUUCUUCAGAGAAGAAAUUCAUCAUUUUGGGUGUGGUCCUGUCUUGCCUGCUCCUAUUAGUGCUCCUUCUUGUAGGCAUAAUUUGUGCCAGAAGAAUCUACCAGAGAGCAGAGAAAGGGCUCUAA